AAGCUGUGGUAUCCACGAAGAGUACUCCAAGGGGCUUGAAGCUUAUUUUCUGGUUUCAUAAUUCUUAAUAUGGGCAGACCAAUUCAGUCAAUUGAAGAACUGUUAUAUGUACUUCAUCUUGUAAAAACUUUUAUAAAUGGUUGAUAUGUGAGGAUUGAGUUCCUUUUUUGUCU
This is a long non-coding RNA of Telopea speciosissima, 173 nucleotides long. RefSeq lists it as uncharacterized. NCBI's taxonomy places the organism in Eukaryota, Viridiplantae, Streptophyta, Magnoliopsida, Proteales, Proteaceae. The transcript has 3 exons. The record is from RefSeq and is a predicted model, not a curated record.